This is a non-coding RNA of Acanthosepion pharaonis, 84 nucleotides long. The record is from the annotation of a GenBank genome assembly. NCBI's taxonomy places the organism in Eukaryota, Metazoa, Mollusca, Cephalopoda, Sepiida, Sepiidae.
UUCCCGUAUGAUCACCGAAGUUAAGCAACGUCAAGCCUGGUCAGUAGCUGGAUAGGUGAAUGCUUGGGAAUACCAGGUGCAGUA